CGGUGUUCAACUGGCGUGUCCGCGGGACGUCCUGCCGGUGGGCUUAGCCCGCAAGGGCGGCCCAACUUCAAAUCCCAUCGCGGUGCUCUUCACUGAGUGUCGAGGUGGGCCGGCACGUUUACUUUGAACAAAUUAGAUUGCUUAAAGCAGGCUAAAACUUCGCCUGAAUACUGUGUGCAUGGAAUAAUGGAAUAGGACCUCGGUUCUAUUUUGUUGGUUUUCGGAACCCCGAGGUAAUGAUUAAUAGGAACGGAUGGGGGCAUUCGUAUUGCGACGUUAGAGGUGAAAUUCUUGGAUCGUCGCAAGACGGACAGAAGCGAAAGCAUUUGCCAAAAACGCUUUCAUUGAUCAAGAACGAAAGUUAGAGGUUCGAAGGCGAUCAGAUACCGCCCUAGUUCUAACCAUAAACGAUGCCAGCUAGCGAUCCGUCGACGUUCCUCCGAUGACUCGACGGGCAGCUUCCGGGAAACCAAAGCUUUUGGGUUCCGGGGGAAGUAUGGUUGCAAAGCUGAAACUUAAAGGAAUUGACGGAAGGGCACCACCAGGAGUGGAGCCUGCGGCUUAAUUUGACUCAACACGGGAAACCUCACCAGGCCCGGACACCGGAAGGAUUGACAGAUUGAGAGCUCUUUCUUGAUUCGGUGGGUGGUGGUGCAUGGCCGUUCUUAGUUGGUGGAGCGAUUUGUCUGGUUAAUUCCGAUAACGAACGAGACUCUGGCCUGCUAACUAGGCGUAUUUUCGACAUCUCAAAGGUCCGUCGUCCCGGCCCUCGGGUCGUGGGCGUGCGCGAUUUUUACUGUCGGCGUACUAUCAAUUCUUCUUAGAGGGACAGGUGGCUUCUAGCCGCACGAGAUUGAGCAAUAACAGGUCUGUGAUG
Molecule: ribosomal RNA, 877 nt
Filed under: uncultured eukaryote
Lineage: Eukaryota
Description: SSU rRNA
Rfam family: Eukaryotic small subunit ribosomal RNA
Source: RNAcentral